This 84-nucleotide transfer RNA is filed under the name Parvicella tangerina. Its description in RNAcentral is "Cryomorphaceae bacterium CECT 30217 tRNA-Val". The record is from RNAcentral. Lineage: Bacteria; Pseudomonadati; Bacteroidota; Flavobacteriia; Flavobacteriales; Parvicellaceae.
GGAGUGAUCAACGUGGACGGAGGAAAUUUACACUUUUCUGGUUGUUCAUUCUUGAAUACAUCAGGUUCGAACCCUGUCGUUUUU